GGCUCAGAACGAACGCUGGCGGCAUGCCUAACACAUGCAAGUCGAACGAGAAGAUACCUUCGGGUAUUGGAAAGUGGCGCACGGGUGAGUAACGCGUGGGAACCUGCCCAGAGGUACGGGAUAACGGCUGGAAACGGCCGCUAAUACCGUAUGUCCCCUGCGGGGGAAAGAUUUAUCGCCUUUGGAGGGGCCCGCGUCCGAUUAGCUAGUUGGUGAGGUAAUGGCUCACCAAGGCGACGAUCGGUAGCUGGUCUGAGAGGAUGAUC
This 266-nucleotide ribosomal RNA is filed under the name Picochlorum sp. RCC944. Its description in RNAcentral is "partial Bacterial small subunit ribosomal RNA". It matches the Rfam family "Bacterial small subunit ribosomal RNA", at positions 21 to 305 of the family's 1533-position model. Lineage: Eukaryota; Viridiplantae; Chlorophyta; Trebouxiophyceae. The record is from RNAcentral.